UUGCUGGGAUGUCAUAAUCAUUUUCAUGUUUUCCACCAGAACUCAAAACUAUGUUGGCAAUUUACCUUCGUUGGAUGUAUAAGUGA
Molecule: small nucleolar RNA, 86 nt
Filed under: Castor canadensis (American beaver)
Lineage: Eukaryota; Metazoa; Chordata; Mammalia; Rodentia; Castoridae
Description: Small nucleolar RNA SNORD14 (ENSCCNG00000027190.1)
Source: RNAcentral